Molecule: ribosomal RNA, 1169 nt
Filed under: uncultured euryarchaeote
Lineage: Archaea; Methanobacteriati; Methanobacteriota
Description: bacterial SSU rRNA
Rfam family: Archaeal small subunit ribosomal RNA
Source: RNAcentral
CUAUGGAGAGGGAUAUCCCGGGAAACUGGGGCUAAUACUCAUAGACUAUGAAUGCUGGAAUGCUUCGUAGUUCAAAGGUCCGCCGCCAUAGGAUGGGUCUGCGGCCGAUUAGGUAGUUGUUGGGGUAACGGCCCAACAAGCCUGUAAUCGGUACGGGUUGUGGGAGCAAGAGCCCGGAGAUGGAUUCUGAGACACGAAUCCAGGCCCUACGGGGCGCAGCAGGCGCGAAAACUUUACAAUGCGGGAAACCGUGAUAAGGGAACUCCGAGUGCCCGUUAAAUCGGGCUGUCCAUCAGUUUAAAAAACUGGUGAAGAAAGGGCCGGGCAAGACCGGUGCCAGCCGCCGCGGUAAUACCGGCGGCUCGAGUGGUGGCCACUAUUACUGGGCUUAAAGCGUUCGUAGCUGGUUUGUUAAGUCUCUGGGGAAAUCUUCCGGCUUAACCGGAAGGCGUAUCAGGGAUACUGGCAGACUAAGGACCGGAAGAGGUGAGGGGUACUCCAGGGGUAGGAGUGAAAUCCUGUAAUCCUUGGGGGACCACCUGUGGCGAAGGCGCCUCACCAGGACGGCUCCGACAGUGAGGGACGAAAGCUGGGGGAGCAAACCGGAUUAGAUACCCGGGUAGUCCCAGCCGUAAACGAUGUGCGUUAGGUGUAUCGGUGACCACGAGUCACCGAGGUGCCGAAGAGAAAUCGUGAAACGUACCGCCUGGGAAGUACGGUCGCAAGGCUGAAACUUAAAGGAAUUGGCGGGGGAGCACCACAACAGGUGGAGCCUGCGGUUUAAUCGGACUCAACGCCGGAAAACUCACCAGAUAAGACAGCUGAAUGAUAGUCGGGCUGAAGACUCUACUUGACUAGCUGAGAGGAGGUGCAUGGCCGUCGUCAGUUCGUACUGUGAAGCAUCCUGUUAAGUCAGGCAACGAGCGAGACCCACGCCAACAGUUGCUAGCUCGUCCCCCGGGAUGGAGAGGACACUGUUGGGACCGCCUCUGCUAAAGAGGAGGAAGGAAUGGGCAACGGUAGGUCAGCAUGCCCCGAAUUAUCUGGGCUACACGCGGGCUACAAUGGGUGGGACAAUGGGUAUCGACACCGAAAGGUGAAGGCAAUCUCCUAAACCCAUCCUUAGUUCGGAUUGUGGGCUGCAACUCGCCCACAUGAAGCUGGAUUCC